GAUAGUUUGGUUUUGAAAGCCCUUUCUCCUACGUUACAGCUGUCAAAUUCUGGUGUAAGAGGAAUAUAGAAUCUAUGUAAAAUAUUGUCUCGAGUUGCAAUUGAUCCUGUGUUUUAAUUUCUGGGGGAAAACAUUCUCAUGCUAGGAAUUUUAGCAGGUUUCUUAUAUGGUUAGACAAUUCAUUUUAUAGAAGUUUCUGAUGUGUGGCCAAAUUCAAUUCAGGUUCAUAUUUUGUAACUAUAAAAGUCAUUGUUGAUUUUUUUUUCCUGAAUGAAGGAGAUCGAAAAUGAAGCAGAGGAAUUCCUCAAAGAGCUGGAGCAACGUUGUCAGGACCUGGAUGUAGAUCUUUGAUGGCAAACGUUCUCUGCCCUUUUCUUCGGUAAAGGUGGCGCAGUCGUGUGUGGAGACAGUUGAUUUAGGCCAGGAUAGUUUGGUUUUGAAAGCCCUUGCUCCAGUGUGAUUAUUGUCAAAUUCUGUUGCAACUCAAAGUGGCUGAACUGCCUCCAAACAGACUCCGGGGGUGAACCCUGCCCAUCAGUCUGAGACUCCGCAGCCUUCCCCGAGGCAGGCAGCGUCGGUUUCCUGUCUGUUCAUGGCAUUCCUUCCAGUCCGCUUCGCUCCUUCUGCCACCCAUCUUUCAAUUUCCACGCAACAAACAAACAAUCUUCCAUUAUCAUAUAACCAGCGGGCAUGGGCACCCUUCACACCACCGGCGCCCUCUGGAGGUUGCUCUUGGCCUCUUUGGGUACAGGGCCACCGGGAGACUCAGGCUCAUCAUCCUCCUGGCAGGUCUCCCCUUUUUGAUUCUUACUCCUUCCAACAUUUUCUUACAGUUUCGCUGUACCAGCAAAUUCCCUGAUGGAUGCAGCUGACAUCGUCCAGGAGCCCUUCUUUGCCUGGGACGUCCCCAGUGUAAGCGACUCCUCUCUGGAUGAUGACAGCAGCAUCGGGUCAGGGGACUCUGUCCGAGCACUCCUGGAGAGGUACCCCCUAUCUCUUGGUUUGGAUCCUGAGGUUCAGGCAAACGGACAAGGUAGGAGGCCUGGCUUCUGGCCUAUGGGCAGUGUGCCGGUUCCUCCCUGCUCAGGGUUGGGCUCCCUGGUUGGGGCAUCCCAGUGUGAACUGAGGUCACUGGGAGGCCAAGGCCGCAGCUCUAAGAAAGAGAGCUGAGAGGGUUGGGACUCCUGCCUUCCAAGCAUCGCCUGUCAUUUCAUGGCGGCUUCUUCUGUCUUCUAGUGCCAAGGAGAGGCUGAAGUUAAUGAUGAGGAUGGCACCGGAUGUCUCCCCAACGGUAAGCAAGGAAAGGCCCAGAUCCCCGUACUUCCCAAGGCAUCCUAUAUCUUUCAUCCAGGUCCUGACCUCACCCUCUCCUGGCGCGGAUGGGCCUGCCUGGCCUCUGCUUGCCGUAGGCUGGGCUAGCUCUGCUCUCUGACCUCAGGCAUGGUUUGGGGAGCGAGGCCACUUUCAGCUGAAAACCUCUCAUUCACAAGAAUCAUCAGAGGCAGGAGAAGAAGAGGAACAUCUUGAAAGGUACAGUGUGCUUAGCUAAAGGACCUCUGAAGCCCUCCCCCCCAGGGAUUGCAGCACCCUCCCAAAGAGGAAGGGCUGAGGUGGAGCAGGGCUGGCAGCCUUCAGCCCCCUGACUCCCUCCUGCCUUGUCCCUUGUCCUGGAGGGUGGAGUCCUGCUCACGGAAAGCCAC
Long non-coding RNA from Pogona vitticeps (central bearded dragon), 1700 nucleotides. NCBI's taxonomy places the organism in Eukaryota, Metazoa, Chordata, Lepidosauria, Squamata, Agamidae. The record is from Ensembl.